CCUACGGGGGGCAGCAGUGGGGAAUAUUGGACAAUGGGGGCAACCCUGAUCCAGCCAUGCCGCGUGUGUGAAGAAGGCCCUCGGGUUGUAAAGCACUUUCAGUGAGGAAGAACGCCUGGUGGUUAAUACCCAUCAGGAAAGACAUCACUCACAGAAGAAGCACCGGCUAACUCCGUGCCAGCAGCCGCGGUAAUACGGAGGGUGCGAGCGUUAAUCGGAAUUACUGGGCGUAAAGCGCGCGUAGGUGGCUUGAUAAGCCGGUUGUGAAAGCCCCGGGCUCAACCUGGGAACGGCAUCCGGAACUGUCAAGCUAGAGUGCAGGAGAGGAAGGUAGAAUUCCCGGUGUAGCGGUGAAAUGCGUAGAGAUCGGGAGGAAUACCAGUGGAGAAGGCGGCCUUCUGGACUGACACUGACACUGAGGUGCGAAAGCGUGGGUAGCAAACAGGAUUAGAUACCCCGGUAGUC
RNAcentral lists this ribosomal RNA (465 nucleotides) under Vreelandella stevensii. RNAcentral's name for it is "partial 16S ribosomal RNA". It matches the Rfam family "Bacterial small subunit ribosomal RNA", at positions 338 to 795 of the family's 1533-position model. The record is from RNAcentral. Lineage: Bacteria; Pseudomonadati; Pseudomonadota; Gammaproteobacteria; Oceanospirillales; Halomonadaceae.